CAUGGGUAGCAAUACCUGAUGGCGACCGGCAAACGGGUGCGGAACACGUACGCAACCUUCCCAAAACUGGUGAAUAGCCUUUCGAAAGAGAGAUUAAUACACCGUAACAUAACGAGCAGGCAUCUACUUGUUAUUAUAGUAGCAAUACGGUUUUGGAUGGGCGUGCGCCUGAUUAGAUAGUUGGCGGGGUAACGGCCCACCAAGUCUGCGAUCAGUAACUGGUGUGAGAGCACGACCAGUCACACGGGCACUGAGACACGGGCCCGACUCCUACGGGAGGCAGCAGUAAGGAAUAUUGGUCAAUGGACGCAAGUCUGAACCAGCUAUGCCGCGUGAAGGAUGAAGGUCCUCUGGAUUGUAAACUUCUUUUAUCUGGGACGAAAAAAGCUCAUUCUUGAGCACUUGACGGUACCAGAGGAAUAAGCACCGGCUAACUCCGUGCCAGCAGCCGCGGUAAUACGGAGGGUGCAAGCGUUAUCCGGAUUCACUGGGUUUAAAGGGUGCGUAGGUGGGCAGGUAAGUCAGUGGUGAAAUCUCCGAGCUUAACUCGGAAACUGCCAUUGAUACUAUCUGUCUUGAAUUAUCUGGAGGUGAGCGGAAUAUGUCAUGUAGCGGUGAAAUGCUUAGAUAUGACAUAGAACACCAAUUGCGAAGGCAGCUCACUACGGAUAUAUUGACACUGAGGCACGAAAGCGUGGGGAUCAAACAGGAUUAGAUACCCUGGUAGUCCACGCCCUAAACGAUGGAUACUCGACAUCAGCGAUACACUGUUGGUGUCUGAGCGAAAGCAUUAAGUAUCCCACCUGGGAAGUACGAUCGCAAGAUUGAAACUCAAAGGAAUUGAC
This 845-nucleotide ribosomal RNA is filed under the name uncultured Flavobacteriia bacterium. RNAcentral's name for it is "bacterial SSU rRNA". It matches the Rfam family "Bacterial small subunit ribosomal RNA", at positions 71 to 914 of the family's 1533-position model. Lineage: Bacteria; Pseudomonadati; Bacteroidota; Flavobacteriia. The record is from RNAcentral.